This 168-nucleotide ribosomal RNA is filed under the name Stromateus brasiliensis. Its description in RNAcentral is "partial 12S rRNA". The record is from RNAcentral. Lineage: Eukaryota; Metazoa; Chordata; Actinopteri; Scombriformes; Stromateidae.
CACCGCGGUUAUACGAGAGGCCCAAGUUGAUAGACAUCGGCGUAAAGCGUGGUUAAGGAAAACUAAAACUAAAGCCGAACACCUUAAGAGCAGUUAUACGCCUACUAAGGUACGAAGCCCCACCACGAAAGUGGCUUUACAACCCCUGACCCCACGAAAGCUAUGAUA